This 429-nucleotide ribosomal RNA is filed under the name Chloroflexota bacterium. RNAcentral describes it as "Chloroflexi bacterium partial 16S ribosomal RNA". It matches the Rfam family "Bacterial small subunit ribosomal RNA", at positions 355 to 776 of the family's 1533-position model. The record is from RNAcentral. RNAcentral also lists the same sequence under 1 other name. Lineage: Bacteria; Bacillati; Chloroflexota.
UAGGGAAUCUUCGGCAAUGGACGAAAGUCUGACCGAGCAACGCCGCGUGAGUGAAGAAGGUUUUCGGAUCGUAAAACUCUGUUGUUAGAGAAGAACAAGGACGUUAGUAACUGAACGUCCCCUGACGGUAUCUAACCAGAAAGCCACGGCUAACUACGUGCCAGCAGCCGCGGUAAUACGUAGGUGGCAAGCGUUGUCCGGAUUUAUUGGGCGUAAAGCGAGCGCAGGCGGUUUCUUAAGUCUGAUGUGAAAGCCCCCGGCUCAACCGGGGAGGGUCAUUGGAAACUGGGAGACUUGAGUGCAGAAGAGGAGAGUGGAAUUCCAUGUGUAGCGGUGAAAUGCGUAGAUAUAUGGAGGAACACCAGUGGCGAAGGCGGCUCUAUGGUCUGUAACUGACGCUGAGGCUCGAAAGCGUGGGGAGCAAACAGG